CACGUAGGGGGCGAGCGUUGUCCGGAUUUAUUGGGCGUAAAGAGCUCGUAGGCGGCUCAGUAAGUCAGGUGUGAAAACUCCAGGCUCAACCUGGAGACGCCACCUGAUACUGCUGUGGCUAGAGUCCGGUAGGGGAGACUGGAAUUCCUGGUGUAGCGGUGAAAUGCGCAGAUAUCAGGAGGAACACCGAUGGCGAAGGCAGGUCUCUGGGCAUUAACUGACGCUGAGGAGCGAAAGCCGUGGGGAGCGAACAGG
This 255-nucleotide ribosomal RNA is filed under the name uncultured bacterium. RNAcentral describes it as "partial 16S ribosomal RNA". It matches the Rfam family "Bacterial small subunit ribosomal RNA", at positions 524 to 776 of the family's 1533-position model. The record is from RNAcentral.